GUGCCAGCCGCCGCGGUACUACGGAGGGUGCAAGCGUUGUCCGGAAUCACUGGGCGUAAAGGGUGCGCAGGCGGGGCAGCAAGUCGGAGGUGAAAGCCCGUGGCUCAACCACGGAAGUGCCUUCGAAACUGUUGCUCUUGAGUCCCGGAGAGGUUGCCGGAAUUCGUGGUGUAGCGGUGAAAUGCGUAGAUAUCACGGGGAACACCAGAGGCGAACGCGGGCAACUGGACGGGUACUGACGCUCAGGCACGAAAGCGCGGGGAGCAAACAGGAUUAGAAACCCGGGUACC
RNAcentral lists this ribosomal RNA (290 nucleotides) under uncultured bacterium. RNAcentral describes it as "partial 16S ribosomal RNA". It matches the Rfam family "Bacterial small subunit ribosomal RNA", at positions 505 to 794 of the family's 1533-position model. The record is from RNAcentral.